RNAcentral lists this ribosomal RNA (498 nucleotides) under uncultured bacterium. RNAcentral describes it as "partial 16S ribosomal RNA". It matches the Rfam family "Bacterial small subunit ribosomal RNA", at positions 29 to 523 of the family's 1533-position model. The record is from RNAcentral.
AUUGAACGCUGGCGGCAUGCCUUACACAUGCAAGUCGAACGGUAACGCGGGGCAACCUGGCGACGAGUGGCGAACGGGGGAGUAAUGCAUCGGAACGUGCCCAGUAGUGGGGGAUAGCCCGGCGAAAGCCGGAUUAAUACCGCAUACGACCUACGGGUGAAAGCGGGGGACCGUAAGGGCUCGCGGUAUUGGAGCGGGCGAUGUCAGCUUAGGUUGUUGGUGGGGUAGAGGCCUACCAAGCCGACGAUCUGUAGCUGGUCUGAGAGUACGACCAGCCUCACUGGGACUGAGACACGGCCCAGACUCCUACGGGAGGCAGCAGUGGGGAAUUUUGGACAAUGGGGGCAACCCUAAUCCAGCCAUGCCGCGUGCGGGAAGAAGGCCUUCGGGUUGUAAACCGCUUUUGUCAGGGAAGAAACGCUCUGGGCUAAUACCCUGGGGUAAUGACGGUACCUGAAGAAUAAGCACCGGCUAACUACGUGCCAGCCGCCGCCGUAA